GUGCUCACCUCAGCAGCACAUAUACUGAAACAGGAACAUAGAGAGAACAUUAGCACAGCCCUUCCACAAAGAUGACACACAAAUUCACAGAGUGUCCAAUAUUAGA
This is a small nuclear RNA of Nycticebus coucang (slow loris), 106 nucleotides long. NCBI's taxonomy places the organism in Eukaryota, Metazoa, Chordata, Mammalia, Primates, Lorisidae. The record is from RefSeq and is a predicted model, not a curated record.